Molecule: long non-coding RNA, 1159 nt
Organism: Ziziphus jujuba (common jujube)
Lineage: Eukaryota; Viridiplantae; Streptophyta; Magnoliopsida; Rosales; Rhamnaceae
Exons: 4
Source: RefSeq, a predicted model, not a curated record
UUUAAUUUGGACUGGGUGGGAAGUUUUCCAUUGUAUUUUUGUUUCCCUUCAAAUGAUUUUCUACCUAAUCCUCUUUCGAAACAAGAAGCCUCCAACCUAAUUAGUCUUUACCCCAUCUAUGGUUUGCUUCAUCUCCACCUUACACUCUAACCAAGACCGGGUCUGCUUUGUCGCCCGCAUCGACUUUGGCGUUUGACUACAAUAAGCAUUCGAAGAGCUAUGAGUCAGCGAGACUAGGACGACGACGAUUUGGAGUCGAAGGAGGAGGAUGAAGUGUACGCUGAACAAGAGGAAACCCUAGAUGACGAGCUUAAGGAGGAGGAGGAGGAGGAUGUGGGCAGAGGCCGCUCAAGAAAUAAGCGGAUGAGAUCAGAUGAAGAGAUGAUGACUAUGGCAGCAAACAAAGAAAGAGUUGCAACAAGACGCCCUCUGAUGCACAGUCUCUUGAUCUCGAGGCCAAAUUUGAUAGUGAUGGUGAAGAGGAAGAGGAGGAUGACGUUGAUGAUGUGAAUGGGCCUCUCGUACACCUACAUUGCGUCAAAUACAUAUGGACAGGUAAUGUAGAUGUAGACAAAAAGGCUGAAGGAUUUUGAGUGAAUACUGAUGACAAAGACACAUUCAAGAGAAAGAUUCUCAAGGAAAUGGAUUAUAUGCUGGCAUUUGGGUCCUCAAAGGCUUCUUUUAAGUUAUUAUGGAAGUUUAAGCUCCUUUAAAUAUUUAUCCUGUCCCGGUUUGCAGGUAUGCAAUUUUUUUGUCAGUCUCCAUAAUUUUUCUAGGUGCACCUUUUGAAUAAUGGAAAUUUAGGAUUGAUGGGUAGAGAAAGACUUUUUUUGAUAAUUAAAUGGUAGUCUUAUAGCUUUUCACAUUGUCUUUAUAUCUAUAUAUAUGUAUAUAUUGUAUUAGUUUGAAUUUCAAUUUCUUAUGUCUUCUUUUUUAUUUGUGAUUAGUUCUCUUUUCUUAACGUCAAUAGUAAUUAGCAUUUUUUUCAUGUUUGUGUUUAGAGGGUUUUUUAUAAGAUAGUUGGAGUUCUCAAUUUAAGGUUUUAGUUUUCAUAAUGUAUAUUCAUUUAGUUUAGACAUUGUAACAUAGUUGGAGUUUUUUUAGUUAUCUUAUUAUUUUUAGCCAAUUGAUGUAAUAGGUUGGUUUCAUUUAAUUUAAG